UUCAAAAUUUCUUCACAGAUCUUUGAUGAUCAUUCGAAGAUCUUCGAAGCUCUUUCUAUGGCAAAUUCAUCAUCUCCAUUAAUUCCUUUUAAUCUUUCUUUACUCAUCUCGAAUCUCAGCUCCUUUGUUAAUGUGAAGUUAGGUUCUACAAAUUAUAUAGUCUGGAAAAAUCAAUUAUAUUGCGUGUGACAAAUCUCAUUGGUUUUGUGGAUGGAUUACUUAGUCUGUCGUCUGUGAUCAUUGAUUCUGAGAACAGAGAAAUCUCAAAUCCUGAGUAUGAAAAAUGGAUGUGCAUUGAUGCACAUCUACUUAGUUGCAUAGUUACUCUAUCUCUAGCCAUCUUCACUUUUGUCUUUCAUUGCAAAACAAGCUAUCAGAAAAUCUUAUUCUCAUCAAGGUGGAUCUGCUAGACGAAGAGGUUUUCAAGGUCCUUUAUUCUCCAGAAGAGGCAGAUAUUUCAGAGGUUCUCGUAGAGGAGGAAGGCAAAAUUUUCACAAUUCUCAUCAAAUUUCUCAAUCAUCUGGUGUUCCUUCUCAAAUUGGUACUGGUUCUGGAAUUGUAUGUCAGGUCUGUGACAAAUACAAUCAUACAGCCUUGGAAUGUUGGUAUCGAAUGGAUCAAAGUUUUCAAGUUUUUACCAAGCCACCCACACCUAAAGCUUAUGUGGCUUUUGCUCCUAAUUCUUAGAGUUCACAUAUUCCUCUUACCUAGUAUGUUGAUUCCAUAGCUACUAGUCAUAUCACAAAUGACUUAAACCAUCUAUCUGAUUAUCCAGUCACCAUUGGUGAUGGUUUUACUCUUCCUAUUCAUCACAUUGGUAAUGGACUACUACCUACCCCUCCUCAUCCUCUUCAUCUUCAUAACAUUCUCCAUGUUCCUUACAUCUCUUCUAACUUACUUUUUGUGCAUAAGUUGGUUUCAGAUAACAAUUGCUCUAUUACAUUUGAUGGUGAUGGUUUUCUUGUUCAGGACAAAGCUACCAAGAAAAUCCUGUAUAAAGGUUUUCAUUCUCAAGGUCUUUACCAUGCUCCAUUCAUUUCUCCAGCCUCCACAUCAGCUGUUUGUCCUCAAUCUUGCUUUACCAGUACAGUUUCCACCUUUGCUGCACAUGAACCUGUUGAACAUCCAAGUCCAAAUUGUCAUCUACUACUUGAUCAUCCUUCAUCUAAAAAGCUUCAGCACAUUGUAAACACUUUUCAUUUGCCUACACACUUCAUCAGGAUUGUGUACUGAUUGUUGGGACAUAUAGAUUACCAUUUAGUUUGUCUAAUUCCAUUGUUAAUAAACCUCUUGCUCUUAUUUAUUCAGAUGUUUGGGGCCCUUUUUUCUGCAUCUGUAUCAGAUUACAAGUACUAUGUUAUUUUCA
Molecule: non-coding RNA, 1366 nt
Organism: Camellia sinensis
Lineage: Eukaryota; Viridiplantae; Streptophyta; Magnoliopsida; Ericales; Theaceae
Source: RefSeq, a predicted model, not a curated record